RNAcentral lists this long non-coding RNA (445 nucleotides) under Citrus sinensis (sweet orange). Its description in RNAcentral is "long non-coding RNA (CSIN_LNC001426)". Lineage: Eukaryota; Viridiplantae; Streptophyta; Magnoliopsida; Sapindales; Rutaceae. The record is from RNAcentral.
GCGUCUUGGAGGAAAGAGCAAAACAUGUAGGUGCUCUGUUAUUUGCUGUAACUGUAACUUAGCCGGGUCCCAAAUUAGUGAUAUAGCUCCGUCAAAUCAAACCCGAAGGGGCAAAAGAGAGUAUUUGUACCAGCUCGAACGACUUCAAAGUUCAAUCGAAAGUUUCUCUGCAGAAAAAAGAACCAAAAAAAUAAAAAGUAAGGGCAGUGACUACAAACAUUAUUUGUGUCUGGUUUUACAGCGUAUUCAAAGUUGGCGACUCAGAAAAAAUCUUAACCCUAACCCAUUACACUUACAGCCAAGAGCUAAAACGCUGCGUACCCUGCUAAUCGUACUUGUUGUUUCCAAGAGAUGGACAUUUUGACCCCACGCGCAACACCAGCUUUUAUUUGACUGCUGUCCGAACAGUUGAGCACAAUCCUGUUUCCACUCACCCAACCAUUUU